UCCGUCCAGGUCACGGCGCCGUGUUGCUGGUCGUGUCAUUUCAGCUCCGCUCGAGGUGACUCUUUUCACCCGAGCCCGGCAACUUUGUCCCGGGAGAAAUCCGUCGGCCUCUUCCUGAGUGUUCAGGCGGACGACUGCCUGAAAAGCCCCCGGGAUGGUUUACGGUUGGCCCUGUGUGAUUUCAGACAAGCGUUGAGGCAAGAUACCUGUGAAGCUGCUCGUACCUAUUCCUGACUACAGAUGUGCCAUCAUGGUAUGCCAAGUUCGUCUGUUUUACACCAUCUUUACAUACGCACCGUAAUUCAUCUGCGAAUACUUUGUGCGGAGCUGGAUGAACACAGCAGGCCAGGCAGCAUCAGAGGAGCAGAAACAUUUUCCGGAGGGAGGAGGGUAACUUCUUCAAGAGGAUAAAUGACCUGCUCCUGGCUUACUUCUGCUACUAUGUUCCUGUCUUCCUAUGUCCCUACCUUGCAUCACACUGGGAUUAAAAUUUAUAAACAACAAUAUUUUGAGCAAUGGGUGAAGCUAGCUGUUCCAUGUUGUUGUUAAUGCAUAACAACAUGCUGCUGUUAAAUCAAAAAAUGUUCUGCCUAUCACAUAAAUGAGUAAUGUAAUAUAUGUUUCAAUGUCAGUGUGAUGCUAUGUAUUUUGGCCAUAUGUUCUAAAGACUGGCAAUCGUUACAACUUGCAUAUACGCUUCUCAAAGAGCAAGGUAUUGACCGUAACCAAUCAGCAGGUGCUUGCAGAACUCAAAAGAUAUAACCACAUUAAAUGUGAUUGGACAGCAUUUGAUAAAUAAUCACAAGUGUGCUAAGAAUUACACUGACAACCAAUUUAAACAUUUAUCUAAUUGUAUUCAAUUGUGUGCUGAUGCUGAGCAUUAACUGAGAAUUAAAUGGCUCCAAUAAAUAAAACAACUGACUGAAACUGACAUUUGGUUGCAGUGAUGCAUGUUUGUAAUGUGCCUCUUUGUGAAUAAAUUCUAUGAAAGUGUA
Molecule: long non-coding RNA, 995 nt
Organism: Rhincodon typus (whale shark)
Lineage: Eukaryota; Metazoa; Chordata; Chondrichthyes; Orectolobiformes; Rhincodontidae
Exons: 3
Source: RefSeq, a predicted model, not a curated record